RNAcentral lists this ribosomal RNA (491 nucleotides) under Planococcus maitriensis. RNAcentral's name for it is "bacterial SSU rRNA". It matches the Rfam family "Bacterial small subunit ribosomal RNA", at positions 38 to 513 of the family's 1533-position model. The record is from RNAcentral. Lineage: Bacteria; Bacillati; Bacillota; Bacilli; Caryophanales; Caryophanaceae.
GGCGGCGUGCCUAAUACAUGCAAGUCGAGCGGAGAUCUUGGAGCUUGCUCCAGGAUCUUAGCGGCGGACGGGUGAGUAACACGUGGGCAACCUGCCCUGCAGAUCGGGAUAACUCCGGGAAACCGGUGCUAAUACCGAAUAGUUUGCGGCCUCUCAUGAGGCCACACGGAAAGACGGUUUCGGCUGUCACUGCAGGAUGGGCCCGCGGCGCAUUAGCUAGUUGGUGGGGUAACGGCCUACCAAGGCAACGAUGCGUAGCCGACCUGAGAGGGUGAUCGGCCACACUGGGACUGAGACACGGCCCAGACUCCUACGGGAGGCAGCAGUAGGGAAUCUUCCGCAAUGGACGAAAGUCUGACGGAGCAACGCCGCGUGAGUGAAGAAGGUUUUCGGAUCGUAAAACUCUGUUGUGAGGGAAGAACAAGUACCAACUAACUAUUGGUACCUUGACGGUACCUCACCAGAAAGCCACGGCUAACUACGUGCCAGCA